UACGGAGGGGGCGAGCGUUAUUCGGAAUUAUUGGGCGUAAAGGGCGCGUAGGCGGCCCGUCAAGUCAGGGGUGAAAGCCCUCGGCUCAACCGAGGAAUUGCCUUUGAAACUGACAGGCUCGAGGCCGGGAGAGGGAAGUGGAAUUCCAGGUGUAGCGGUGAAAUGCGUAGAUAUCUGGAGGAACACCAGAGGCGAAGGCGGCUUCCUGGACCGGUUCUGACGCUGAGGCGCGAAAGCAUGGGGAGCAAACAGG
RNAcentral lists this unclassified non-coding RNA (253 nucleotides) under uncultured Acidobacteriota bacterium. RNAcentral's name for it is "uncultured Acidobacteria bacterium contains 16S-23S intergenic spacer region". It matches the Rfam family "Bacterial small subunit ribosomal RNA", at positions 524 to 776 of the family's 1533-position model. The record is from RNAcentral. Lineage: Bacteria; Pseudomonadati; Acidobacteriota.